AUUGAACGCUGGCGGCAUGCUUUACACAUGCAAGUCAAACGGCAGCGCGGGCUUCGGCCUGGCGGCGAGUGGCGAACGGGUGAGUAAUACAUCGGAACGUGCCCAGUAGUGGGGGAUAGCUCGGCGAAAGCCGGAUUAAUACCGCAUACGACCUGAGGGUGAAAGCGGGGGAUCUUCGGACCUCGCGCUAUUGGAGCGGCCGAUGGCAGAUUAGCUAGUUGGUGGGGUAAAGGCCUACCAAGGCGACGAUCUGUAGCUGGUCUGAGAGGACGACCAGCCACACUGGGACUGAGACACGGCCCAGACUCCUACGGGAGGCAGCAGUGGGGAAUUUUGGACAAUGGGCGAAAGCCUGAUCCAGCAAUGCCGCGUGUGUGAUGAAGGCCUUCGGGUUGUAAAGCACUUUUGGCGGGAACGAAAAGGACUGUGCCAAUACCACGGUUCGAUGACGGUACCCGCAGAAUAAGCACCGGCUAACUACGUG
Molecule: ribosomal RNA, 484 nt
Filed under: uncultured bacterium
Lineage: Bacteria
Description: partial 16S ribosomal RNA
Rfam family: Bacterial small subunit ribosomal RNA
Source: RNAcentral